ACGACAAGGAAUUGUCGAUAAGAUGUAAGUGUUCUUUUGUAUUAUAGGGGACUAAAAAAAAUUUUAACCCACAUUAAGUGACUUUCUUUGCAGAAUUUAAUGGCUAUACACUGUGCCCAUGGUUAGACUCUCUUUCUAACUAGGAGUGCUUGUAGUAAAGUUCCUUGAUGUGUUUCCAAAAUUGAACUUUAUUAACUCAUGUUUGUCAACAAUUAAAAUUUAUACUACGCAUAAAACUGCCAAGGUAAAACUAACUUCAAUUGAGUUCAGUUUGUCAAUUUCAUAUCAUAAAUCACUCUCUUGAAAUGAGUUUUGAAAAUGAAAAAUGAAAAAGAAGAAAGCUCAUGUGCAACCAUCUCCGUUAAAUUGAAUAUAAACAGUUGAUGUCCAA
This 391-nucleotide unclassified non-coding RNA is filed under the name Hevea brasiliensis (rubber tree). Lineage: Eukaryota; Viridiplantae; Streptophyta; Magnoliopsida; Malpighiales; Euphorbiaceae. The record is from RNAcentral.